This 253-nucleotide ribosomal RNA is filed under the name uncultured bacterium. Its description in RNAcentral is "partial 16S ribosomal RNA". It matches the Rfam family "Bacterial small subunit ribosomal RNA", at positions 524 to 776 of the family's 1533-position model. The record is from RNAcentral.
GACAGAGGGGGCAAGCGUUGCUCGGAAUUACUGGGCGUUAAGGGCGCGUAGGCGGGAUGGCAAGUCGGUCGUGAAAUCCCUCGGCUCAACCGAGGAACGUCGAUCGAUACUGCUGUUCUUGAGGAUUGCAGAGGAGACUGGAAUUCCCGGUGUAGCGGUGAAAUGUGUAGAGAUCGGGAGGAACACCGGUGGCGAAGGCGGGCUACGGGGCCGAUACUGACGCUGAUGCGCGAAAGCCAGGGGAGCGAACGGG